AUGGAGGCGGAGUACCAGGCCGCCCUCGAGGAGGCCCUGCAGCAGGCGCUGGAGGCUAGCCGCCUCGAGGAGGACGCGCACUGGGAUGGGCUGGAGCAAGCCCUCGCCCUAUCGGCGGCGGGGGACUCCGUCCACUCCCCGCUGUUCGUGCCGCCACCGCCACCCUCGCCGCCCAUCCAGCCCAAGCCGGAGCCGGAGCCGACGCGGAAGCGCUCCCCGCCUCCACCCACUUGGCCGGAGGAGACCUACUCGUGGACGGGUCAGUACCGCGAGUGGGUGAGCGCGCGCCCCGUCCACUUCGCCGCGACGCCGGAGCAGGAGGUCGACCACCUCGAGCGCUGA
RNAcentral lists this ribosomal RNA (342 nucleotides) under Triticum aestivum (bread wheat). Its description in RNAcentral is "partial small subunit ribosomal RNA". The record is from RNAcentral. Lineage: Eukaryota; Viridiplantae; Streptophyta; Magnoliopsida; Poales; Poaceae.